AAUCAAGUGCCUUAAGGGUGUUCGGUGGAUGCCUUGGCGCUGAGAGGCGAUGAAGGACGUGCUACGCUGCGAUAAGCCGUGGGGAGCUGCGAAGAAGCUUUGAUCCGCGGAUUUCCGAAUGGGGAAACCCACCUUCGAUAGCCGGAACUCCAAGACCUUGGUCAUGGGGUUUGAGUAGGAGACUGCGAAAAUCUGAGGCCGUGAGGUUUUGGAUUUCCGGUUAUCAAGAGAAGGUAUGAGACUUCUGAAUACAUAGGAGGUUUCAAGCAAACCCAGGGAACUGAAACAUCUAAGUACCUGGAGGAAAGGACAUCAACAGAGACUCCGCUAGUAGUGGCGAGCGAACGCGGACCAGGCCAGUCAUGAAUGUGAGACAACCAGAACCUGUCAGGAAAGCAGGGCCUCAGAGGGUGAUAGCCCCGUAUGGGUAAUGCGAGCAUUCAUGCUCGAGUACGGCGG
This is a ribosomal RNA of 459 nucleotides. It matches the Rfam family "Bacterial large subunit ribosomal RNA", at positions 1 to 420 of the family's 2925-position model.